Apaloderma vittatum (bar-tailed trogon) is the source of this 82-nucleotide non-coding RNA. NCBI's taxonomy places the organism in Eukaryota, Metazoa, Chordata, Aves, Trogoniformes, Trogonidae. The record is from Rfam.
GGCCAGUUAGCUCAGUGGUUUGAGCGUAGUGCUGACAACAAUGACAAAACCGAGGGCGUGGGUUCGAUUCCCGCUCGGUCUC